This is a small nuclear RNA of Hibiscus syriacus, 189 nucleotides long. RefSeq annotates it as U2 spliceosomal RNA. NCBI's taxonomy places the organism in Eukaryota, Viridiplantae, Streptophyta, Magnoliopsida, Malvales, Malvaceae. The transcript has a single exon. The record is from RefSeq and is a predicted model, not a curated record.
AUAUCUUUCUCGGCCUUUUGGCUAAGAUCAAGAGUAGUAUGUGUUUAUUAGCUUAAUAUCUGAUAUGUAGGCUAAUAGCUCAUACGAUAUUAAAUUUAUUUUUGAGGGUGAGAACCUUUCAUAGUAGAUCAAGCUUAAAUUCGAGCUUUAUUCGAGCUCAAAUUUGAGCUUGAGUCUCGAGCUUCAAUC